RNAcentral lists this ribosomal RNA (451 nucleotides) under uncultured bacterium. RNAcentral's name for it is "partial 16S ribosomal RNA". It matches the Rfam family "Bacterial small subunit ribosomal RNA", at positions 354 to 796 of the family's 1533-position model. The record is from RNAcentral.
GUGGGGAAUAUUGGACAAUGGGGGGAACCCUGAUCCAGCCAUGCCGCGUGUGUGAAGAAGGCCUUUUGGUUGUAAAGCACUUUAAGCGAGGAGGAGGCUACCGAGAUUAAUACUCUUGGAUAGUGGACGUUACUCGCAGAAUAAGCACCGGCUAACUCUGUGCCAGCAGCCGCGGUAAUACAGAGGGUGCAAGCGUUAAUCGGAUUUACUGGGCGUAAAGCGCGCGUAGGUGGCCAAUUAAGUCAAAUGUGAAAUCCCCGAGCUUAACUUGGGAAUUGCAUUCGAUACUGGUUGGCUAGAGUAUGGGAGAGGAUGGUAGAAUUCCAGGUGUAGCGGUGAAAUGCGUAGAGAUCUGGAGGAAUACCGAUGGCGAAGGCAGCCAUCUGGCCUAAUACUGACACUGAGGUGCGAAAGCGUGGGGAGCAAACAGGAUUAGAUACCCCGGUAGUCC